AGAGUUUGAUCCUGGCUCAGGAUGAACGCUAGCGGCAGGCCUAAUACAUGCAAGUCGGACGGUAGCCGACCCUUCGGGGCCGGCGAGAGUGGCGGACGGGUGCGUAACGCGUAUGCAACCAACCCCCCACAGCGGGACAGCCGGUGGAAACGCCGGGCAAUCCCGCAUGCCGCCGUGUCGGGGCAUCCCGGCAUGGCGAAAGGCUACGGCCGGUGGGGGACGGGCAUGCGUGCCAUUAGCUGGUUGGCGGGGCGACGGCCCACCAAGGCGACGAUGGCUAGGGGAUCUGAGAGGACGGUCCCCCACACUGGUACUGAGACAUGGACCAGACUCCUGCGGGAGGCAGCAGUAAGGGAUAUUGGGCAAUGGGGGGAACCCUGACCCAGCCAUGCCGCGUGAGGGAAUGGGGCCCUACGGGUCGUGAACCUCUUUUGCCGGGGGACAACGGCGGCGUCGAGAACGCCGCGUGCGGGUACCCGGCGAAUAAGCGUCGGCUAACUCCGUGCCAGCAGCCGCGGUAAUACGGAGGACGCGAGCGUUAUCCGGAUUCAUUGGGUUUAAAGGGUGCGCAGGCGGCCUGCCAAGUCAGCGGUGAAAGCCCGGGGCCCAACCCCGGAAGUGCCGUUGAUACCGUCGGGCUGGAAUGCGGUCGAGGCGGGCGGAACGUGGCGUGUAGCGGUGAAAUGCGUAGAUAUGCCACAGAACGCCGAUAGCGGAGGCAGCUCGCCAGGCCUGCAUUGACGCUCGGGCACGAAAGCGUGGGGAUCGAACAAGAUUAGAUACCCUGGUAGUCCACGCCG
This 800-nucleotide ribosomal RNA is filed under the name uncultured bacterium. RNAcentral describes it as "bacterial SSU rRNA". It matches the Rfam family "Bacterial small subunit ribosomal RNA", at positions 8 to 802 of the family's 1533-position model. The record is from RNAcentral.